UACGUAGGGUGCAAGUGUUGUCCGGAAUUAUUGGGCGUAAAGAGCUCGUAGGCGGUUUGUCGCGUCUGCUGUGAAAACCCGAGGCUCAACCUCGGGCCUGCAGUGGGUACGGGCAGACUAGAGUGCGGUAGGGGAGAUUGGAAUUCCUGGUGUAGCGGUGGAAUGCGCAGAUAUCAGGAGGAACACCAAUGGCGAAGGCAGAUCUCUGGGCCGUAACUGACGCUGAGGAACGAAAGCCAGGGGAGCGAACGGG
RNAcentral lists this ribosomal RNA (253 nucleotides) under uncultured bacterium. RNAcentral describes it as "partial 16S ribosomal RNA". It matches the Rfam family "Bacterial small subunit ribosomal RNA", at positions 524 to 776 of the family's 1533-position model. The record is from RNAcentral.